RNAcentral lists this ribosomal RNA (440 nucleotides) under uncultured bacterium. RNAcentral describes it as "partial 16S ribosomal RNA". It matches the Rfam family "Bacterial small subunit ribosomal RNA", at positions 338 to 795 of the family's 1533-position model. The record is from RNAcentral.
CCUACGGGCGGCAGCAGUGGGGAAUAUUGCACAAUGGGGGAAACCCUGAUGCAGCAACGCCGCGUGAGUGAAGAAGUAUUUCGGUAUGUAAAGCUCUAUCAGCAGGGAAGAGAAUGACGGUACCUGACUAAGAAGCCCCGGCUAACUACGUGCCAGCAGCCGCGGUAAUACGUAGGGGGCGAGCGUUAUCCGGAUUUACUGGGUGUAAAGGGAGCGUAGACGGUUCUGCAAGUCUGAAGUGAAAGCCCGUGGCUUAACCGCGGAACGGCUUUGGAAACUGUGGAACUGGAGUGCUGGAGAGGCAAGCGGAAUUCCUAGUGUAGCGGUGAAAUGCGUAGAUAUUAGGAGGAACACCAGUGGCGAAGGCGACUAUCUGGCUGUACAUUGACGCUGAGGCUCGAAAGCAUGGGGAUCAAACAGGAUUAGAUACCCCAGUAGUC